GAUGAACGCUGGCGGCGUGCCUAAUACAUGCAAGUCUAGCGAACAGACGAGGAGCUUGCUCCUCUGACGUUAGCUGCGGACGGGUGAGUAACACGUGGAUAACCUACCUAUAAGACUGGGAUAACUUCGGGAAACCGGAGCUAAUACCGGAUAAUAUAUUGAACCGCAUGGUUCAAUAGUGAAAGACGGUUUUGCUGUCACUUAUAGAUGGAUCCGCGCCGCAUUAGCUAGUUGGUAAGGUAACGGCUUACCAAGGCAACGAUGCGUAGCCGACCUGAGAGGGUGAUCGGACACACUGGAACUGAGACACGGUCCAGACUCCUACGGGAGGCAGCAGUAGGGAAUCUUCCGCAAUGGGCGAAAGCCUGACGGAGCAACGCCGCGUGAGUGAUGAAGGUCUUCGGAUCGUAAAACUCUGUUAUUAGGGAAGAACAAAUGUGUAAGUAACUAUGCACGUCUUGACGGUACCUAAUCAGAAAGCCACGGCUAACUACGUG
RNAcentral lists this ribosomal RNA (497 nucleotides) under uncultured bacterium. RNAcentral's name for it is "partial 16S ribosomal RNA". It matches the Rfam family "Bacterial small subunit ribosomal RNA", at positions 28 to 507 of the family's 1533-position model. The record is from RNAcentral.